Molecule: RNA transcript, 3049 nt
Organism: Equus quagga
Lineage: Eukaryota; Metazoa; Chordata; Mammalia; Perissodactyla; Equidae
Gene: IGF2BP3
Gene name: insulin like growth factor 2 mRNA binding protein 3
Exons: 13
Source: RefSeq, a predicted model, not a curated record
GUUAGGAAGACUCGUUGAUGCGUUUGGGUUGUAGCAAGGCUUUUUCUUUUUUUUUUUUUUAAUAUCUAGAAAAGGAAAACAAGAGCCCUCGGAUCUGAUUUUCGCUCCUCGUUCCUGUCCUGGUUCUUACUGUUUGUGUAUUUUAACGGCGAGAAGACGAGGGGAACAAAACCCGCCGAAUCCAUCCAUCACUGUGGGUGGUUUUAAUUUUUCGUUUUUCUCUUAAUUUUUUUAAACGACCGCUCUUCACAAUGAACAAACUGUAUCUCGGAAACCUCAGCGAGAACGCCGUCCCCUCGGACCUGGAAACUGUCUUCAAGGACGCCAAGAUCCCCGUGUCGGGACCCUUCCUGGUGAAGACCGGCUACGCGUUCGUGGACUGUCCGGACGAGAGCUGGGCCCUCAAGGCCAUCGAGGCGCUUUCAGGUAAAGUGGAACUGCAUGGGAAACUCAUAGAAGUUGAGCACUCGGUCCCAAAAAGGCAAAGGAUUCGGAAACUUCAGAUCCGAAAUAUCCCGCCUCACUUACAGUGGGAGGUGCUGGAUAGUUUACUAGUCCAGUAUGGAGUGGUGGAAAGCUGUGAGCAAGUGAACACUGACUCGGAAACUGCAGUCGUAAACGUGACCUAUUCCAGUAAGGACCAAGCUAGACAAGCUUUAGACAAACUGAAUGGAUUCCAGUUGGAGAACUUCGUGUUGAAAGUGGCCUACAUCCCUGAUGAAAUGGCUGCCCAGCAGAACCCCUUGCAGCAGCCCCGAGGUCGCCGUGGGUUUGGGCACAGGGGCUCAUCGAGGCAGGGGUCUCCAGGAUCAGCAUCUAAGCAGAAACCGUGUGACUUGCCUCUCCGCCUGUUAGUUCCCACCCAAUUUGUUGGAGCCAUUAUAGGAAAAGAAGGUGCUACCAUUCGGAACAUCACCAAGCAGACCCAGUCAAAAAUCGAUGUCCAUCGUAAAGAGAAUGCAGGUGCUGCUGAGAAGUCGAUUACUAUCCUCUCUACCCCUGAAGGCACCUCUGCGGCUUGUAAGUCUAUUCUGGAGAUUAUGCAUAAGGAAGCUCAAGAUAUAAAAUUCACAGAAGAGAUUCCCCUGAAGAUUUUAGCCCAUAAUAACUUUGUAGGCCGUCUUAUUGGUAAGGAAGGAAGAAACCUUAAAAAAAUCGAGCAAGACACAGACACUAAAAUCACGAUAUCUCCAUUGCAGGAAUUGACGCUGUAUAAUCCGGAGCGCACCAUUACAAUCAAAGGCAAUGUUGAAACAUGUGCCAAAGCUGAGGAAGAGAUAAUGAAGAAAAUCAGGGAGUCUUAUGAAAACGAUAUUGCUUCUAUGAAUCUUCAAGCGCAUUUAAUUCCUGGGUUAAAUCUGAAUGCCUUGGGUCUGUUCCCACCCACUUCAGGGAUGCCGCCUCCCACCUCAGGGCCCCCUUCAGCUAUGACUCCUCCUUACCCACAGUUUGAGCAAUCAGAAACAGAGACUGUUCAUCUGUUUAUCCCAGCUUUAUCUGUUGGUGCCAUUAUCGGCAAGCAGGGGCAGCAUAUCAAACAGCUUUCUCGCUUUGCAGGAGCUUCUAUUAAGAUCGCUCCAGCUGAAGCACCAGAUGCUAAAGUGAGGAUGGUGAUUAUCACCGGGCCACCAGAGGCUCAGUUCAAGGUAUGUGCUCUAGAGUCUAUGGACAGGUAACAAAUGAACAGAUGUGGCAAAUGUUAAUGCCACCUUUUCAGAAACUCCAUAACCUAGCUUCUCCCUUAAAUAUAUCUAAUACUCAGGAGAAAGAAUCUCUCAAUGGAAAUUCAUAAGACUAAGAACAGAGCAAAAACAUACCCAAAGUUGCAUUUCAAAAAUUAACCAAAAGUCUUUGAUUUUGAGAGUUCUGCAUUGGUUGUUGGGUUUACCUAUCUCCCAAAGGAGAAUGUGCUCAACACCUCAUUAUCACAUGUGCAGGUGAGACCUUAAGAAUGAAAUUUAUAAACCCAUCUGGUUAAUAUGCCUUGGAAAACUUGUUCCCAAAUUUUUCCUCUUGUCCCUGAAAAGCCUUAACCUUGAAAUACAAUGCCCCCUUUUCGUCUCACCCUUGGAUUAACUCUCUUAGCCCUUGUCUAUAGUCUCUCCACAAAUCACUCUAAUCCUUUGAAUUUUAGAGGAAUAAAUGGCAGGCAGGCUUGUGGCAUCUGUAAUGGUAUGAACCACUGCUCAUGUUUAUUGGGGUGUGGGGCUUUUGGGGCUGGGCUGCCUCACAUUGUCUACUGAGAGGUGGUACAGCAGUGAUGAAGAGCAGAGACGUGGCAGCCAGGCUGCUGGUUCAAAUCCUAGCUCUACUAUUUUACUAGCUGUGUGACCUUGGCAAGUUACUUAGCCCCUCUCUGGCUAGUUCCUUAUCUGUAAAAUGGCGUUAGGAGCACCUACAAGGUUUAAAGGAGGUUAUAAGGUUUAAAAAAAUCCAUAAAGUGCUUAAAACAGUGCCUGACACAUAGGAAGCACAAUAUAAAUGUGGUGGUGGUGGUGGUUCAGCAGACUCUGGGUAGAUCCAACUAAGACUCUGCCAAAUCCUCAAGUUCACAAAUAAGACAUACUUUUGAGCAUAUGAUUUCUCCCAUAAAACUUUGUACAGGUGUCUUGUUUGCCAUAGGUAAAAGCAGCUACUGAAUUGGGAUGAAGCUAAUUUAUCCAAAACCCAUGUCUUGUUCCUACCACUUAGCAGCUGUGUAAUAGGACAACUCUUUAAGCUUAAGCCUUAGUUCUCUUAGCUCUAAAAUGUGGCUAGUAAUAGUGCCUACCUAUCCCCUCCUCCCCGCUUCUUAAUCACUUUCUUUCAUCUCUAUUUCCUAUGGGCCAUUUUUCACUAAAAAUCCAAAGUUUUUUUUCCACUUCAUUUACAGGAAGAACAGGAAACAAAAGGAGGUGCUUUGAGAUGUGGGUGCAGUUGGCUAGGCUCAAACUCAGGCUCAGGGAAGAAUUUAUGGAAAAAUUAAAGAAGAAAACUUCGUUAGUCCUAAAGAAGAGGUGAAACUUGAAGCUCAUAUCAGAGUGCCAUCCUUUGCUGCUGGCAGAGUUAU